GUUUCAACCAUUUCUUUAGAAGAACAUGUGCUAGCUCAGCAUAAAAAAAAAGUUAGAAAGCUAAAUUGAAGGGAGCUCUGGCUUUAUAAUCCUAUCUUUCCCCAUUGGAAUUCGCUGAGGAAUGUACUUCAACUGCACCCAAAUCAUGUCCUCUUUAAAGGGAACCAGUUGGUGAACUACAAUUUUGCCUUUUGAUUCUAAAUGUUGCAGACCAGCAUAUUCCAAGGUCCCAGCUGAGCGAAUGAAAACAUUUGGGAGUUCAACGGGGAAAAGCCACUUGUUAAGACUCUCCCACCACUGUAGAAAGAGAGCCCUGAACCUGUACAAAACUUCUUAACUUGUAUGCAUCAAAGAAUGUUUGAUAUGAGAUGUAAACGUAAAUUGCGCAUGUAACCUGCAAUUUCAAGUGUAGUGAGACAUCUAAA
Non-coding RNA from Chiloscyllium plagiosum (whitespotted bambooshark), 425 nucleotides. NCBI's taxonomy places the organism in Eukaryota, Metazoa, Chordata, Chondrichthyes, Orectolobiformes, Hemiscylliidae. The record is from RefSeq and is a predicted model, not a curated record.